GGGUCUAUAGCUUAGGGGUAGAGCAUUUGACUGCAGAUCAAGAAGAGGUCAUCGGUUCAAACCUGGUUGGGCCCU
Rhododendron simsii is the source of this 75-nucleotide non-coding RNA. The record is from the annotation of a GenBank genome assembly. NCBI's taxonomy places the organism in Eukaryota, Viridiplantae, Streptophyta, Magnoliopsida, Ericales, Ericaceae.